GUUUGCAUCUGUCAUUUGUCCACAACCUCCUCUCUUUCACCAUCUGGAUUGAACUGAGUUUUCUCAAGUUUGACACCAUGGGAAUGUGUGAGGUACUUGCACAGUUGUAUGACACAUUUCAUACCUAUGCUAAACAAGACGGAGACUGUGAGACACUAACCAAAGGAGAAUUGUCUAAAUUACUCGCCACGGAGUUCGGGUCAGGUCUAUCAGCUUGCAAGGAUGCUGAGGAUACGCUGACAAUGUUGGACCAAGACAAAGAUUCUUGUGUUGAUUUCAAGGAGUUCCUUUCUCUUGUGGGAAUGGUGUUUUUGUUCAUGAGUUGUUCAGAACCAGUAUCACAGUGAUCAUGUACAGAUUCUUGUUCAAGAUUCAUGGAUCUACCAUGCACUGACUUUGAAGUACAUAAUGUCAGUGACUCUAUAAACCACAAUAAAUGCUUCCAAAAAUCUUA
Sphaeramia orbicularis (orbiculate cardinalfish) is the source of this 454-nucleotide long non-coding RNA. RefSeq lists it as uncharacterized. The record is from RefSeq and is a predicted model, not a curated record. Lineage: Eukaryota; Metazoa; Chordata; Actinopteri; Kurtiformes; Apogonidae. The transcript has 3 exons.